Long non-coding RNA from Scophthalmus maximus (turbot), 569 nucleotides. RefSeq lists it as uncharacterized. The record is from RefSeq and is a predicted model, not a curated record. Lineage: Eukaryota; Metazoa; Chordata; Actinopteri; Pleuronectiformes; Scophthalmidae. The transcript is spliced from 2 exons.
UCGUGGGCCUGGAUCAUUGCGCGUCGACUGUCUUUACUUUCGCUUGUACACUCGGCACCGUCCCGUCCGGGGGCGAUCGGCCAUGUCUGCUCCGUCUGCUCCUGCUCCUGCUCCUGCUGCUGCUGCUGCUGGUGGUGUGGCUCCCAAGUGGAAGCAGUGGCGUGAUCCCGGAAAACACCGCAAGGGGGGAUCUUCACCUGAAUCCCGAACAAUUACGUCGACAGUCACAAGAUGACGCAGCAAACACGGUUGACGAGGAGGGAGGUGUGUGACCUGCUGGUCUUCAUCGCCACCGUGUGGUUCAUUUAAACAACAGCAGCAUGUUUUCAUUCAUGAGCCAAAUUCAAAACUCUCAGCUAAGUCCCUGUAUUUGCAGCUAUACUGUAGAUGCAUAAUAAAAAAUAGGACAUGCACACUAAUGCAAUAUCAUGUGAAAUAUAGGAAUCAUCAAAUGUCCCUUUGAAGCAUUUAAUUGUUGAGACUGCUUCACAAAUGUGCUGUUACCUAAACUUCGUUUCUGGUUUACUGAAACAUUUUUUCUCAAAAUAAACUAUUCCGUCUGCAAACUA